RNAcentral lists this ribosomal RNA (462 nucleotides) under uncultured bacterium. RNAcentral's name for it is "partial 16S ribosomal RNA". It matches the Rfam family "Bacterial small subunit ribosomal RNA", at positions 28 to 507 of the family's 1533-position model. The record is from RNAcentral.
GACGAACGCUGGCGGCGUGCUUAACACAUGCAAGUCGAGCGGUAAGGCCUUUCGGGGUACACCAGCGGCGAACGGGUGAGUAACACGUGGGUGAUCUGCCCUGCACUUCGGGAUAAGCCUGGGAAACUGGGUCUAAUACCGGAUAUGACCUCCUAUCGCAUGGUGGGUGGUGGAAAGAUUUAUCGGUGCAGGAUGGGCCCGCGGCCUAUCAGCUUGUUGGUGGGGUAAUGGCCUACCAAGGCGACGACGGGUAGCCGACCUGAGAGGGUGACCGGCCACACUGGGACUGAGACACGGCCCAGACUCCUACGGGAGGCAGCAGUGGGGAAUAUUGCACAAUGGGCGAAAGCCUGAUGCAGCGACGCCGCGUGAGGGAUGACGGCCUUCUGGUUGUAAACCUCUUUCAGCAGGGACGAAGCGUAUGUGACGGUACCUGCAGAAGAAGCACCGGCUAACUACGUG